Molecule: ribosomal RNA, 776 nt
Filed under: uncultured Neocallimastigales
Lineage: Eukaryota; Fungi; Neocallimastigomycota; Neocallimastigomycetes; Neocallimastigales
Description: partial large subunit ribosomal RNA
Rfam family: Eukaryotic large subunit ribosomal RNA
Source: RNAcentral
UAUCUCUGUAGAGUCUGCAUAUCAAUAAGCGGAGGAAAAGAAACUAACAAGGAUUCCCUUAGUAACGGCGAGUGAAGCGGGAAGAGCUCAAAUUUGAAAUCUUCAAGGUUCUACCUUGACGAAUUGUAGUUUAAAGAAGUGUUUUCUGUUAGAUGAGUAGCAAAAGUUCCUUGGAAUGGGACAUCAUAGAGGGUGAGAAUCCCGUAUUUGGUUAUUCAUUCUAGCUUUGUGAUACACUUUCAAAGAGUCGGAUUGUUUGGGAAUGCAGUCCAAAAUGGGUGGUAAAUUUCAUCUAAAGCUAAAUAUUGGCGAGAGACCGAUAGCGAACAAGUACCGUGAGGGAAAGAUGAAAAGAACUUUGAGAAGAGAGUUAAACAAUACGUGAAAUUGUCAAAAGGGAAGCGUUUGACACCAGUGUUGUUUUUCCGAAAAUCAAUUACGAAUGGCUUGAUUUUGUGUUGUAUUGACCUUAUCAGCUUUCUUCACUUUUUUCGAGUCUUUUUAAUGCACUUUUCGGUUAACAAGUCAACAUCAAUUUCUUUUGUUGUAAAAGAGUCAUUCGGAAGGUGGCUUUCUUUUCGGAGAAAGUGUUUAUAGCCCUUAUGCCUCUACAAUCGGAGAGAUUGAGGUCUGCAGCGUAGAUCCUUCGGGGUUAGAUACAUUUGUGCUAAGUUGUAGCCUUUCAUAGACAACUUGUUGACUAUGAUCAGUCAUGUAGCUUACUCGCUUAGUGCUAUUUUACCUACGCUUAGGAUGUUGACUGAUAUGUAGUCGUA